GCCAGGCGUGGUGGUGCAUGCCUGUAAUCCCAGCUACUCGGGAGGCUGAGGCAGGAGAAUCGCUUGAACCCGGGAGGCAGAGCUUGCAGUGAGCCAAGAUUGUGCCACUGUACUCCAGCCUGGGUAACAGAGCAAGACUCUGUCUCAA
This is an unclassified non-coding RNA of Macaca fascicularis (crab-eating macaque), 148 nucleotides long. It matches the Rfam family "Metazoan signal recognition particle RNA". Rfam says of the family: The signal recognition particle (SRP) is a universally conserved ribonucleoprotein. It is involved in the co-translational targeting of proteins to membranes. Lineage: Eukaryota; Metazoa; Chordata; Mammalia; Primates; Cercopithecidae. The record is from Ensembl.